UCUUUUUGAGUGUUGAGUGUUUGUUUUGCAGGUUUUUGAAAAUGUCUAAGGUUUGUCAAGGUGAUAAUGGCCAUAAUGAUGUCUAUGACACAUUUAAAAAAUUCCAACAACAGUUAGAUGAACAAGCUGCCGCACUUCAAACUUUGAGUGCUACUAUCAAUGAGGUGAGAGUGAAUCAAAAACCUCAAUAUCGAGAUUCAAUUAAAGAAGAUAUGGAUAACCAGCCUUCUGC
This 232-nucleotide long non-coding RNA is filed under the name Gossypium raimondii (Peruvian cotton). RNAcentral's name for it is "long non-coding RNA (GRAI_LNC002161)". The record is from RNAcentral. Lineage: Eukaryota; Viridiplantae; Streptophyta; Magnoliopsida; Malvales; Malvaceae.